GACGAACGCUGGCGGCGUGCUUAACACAUGCAAGUCGAACGGAAAGGCCCUUCGGGGUACUCGAGUGGCGAACGGGUGAGUAACACGUGGGUGAUCUGCCCUGCACUUUGGGAUAAGCCUGGGAAACUGGGUCUAAUACCGAAUACACCUCUCCGGCUGCAUGGUUGGUGGGGGAAAGCUUUUGCGGUGUGGGAUGGGCCCGCGGCCUAUCAGCUUGUUGGUGAGGUUACGGCUCACCAAGGCGACGACGGGUAGCCGGCCUGAGAGGGUGACCGGCCACACUGGGACUGAGAUACGGCCCAGACUCCUACGGGAGGCAGCAGUGGGGAAUAUUGCACAAUGGGCGCAAGCCUGAUGCAGCGACGCCGCGUGGGGGAUGACGGCCUUCGGGUUGUAAACUCCUUUCAGCACAGACGAAGCGCGAGUGACGGUAUGUGCAGAAGAAGGACCGGCCAACUACGUGCCAGCCGCCGCCGUAAAAC
This 482-nucleotide ribosomal RNA is filed under the name uncultured bacterium. Its description in RNAcentral is "bacterial SSU rRNA". It matches the Rfam family "Bacterial small subunit ribosomal RNA", at positions 28 to 526 of the family's 1533-position model. The record is from RNAcentral.